This 577-nucleotide long non-coding RNA is filed under the name Panax ginseng (ginseng). RNAcentral's name for it is "long non-coding RNA (PGIN_LNC011929)". The record is from RNAcentral. Lineage: Eukaryota; Viridiplantae; Streptophyta; Magnoliopsida; Apiales; Araliaceae.
AACAAUUAAUAGAAUGAACAAAAGGAAUUUUUACGUGGUUCGGUCCUCUAUUCAAGUGACCUAAUUCACGUCCAAUACUAACUUGUAUUGAAGAUUCUUUUAUUAAUAAACUUGGUUUACAAUUAAAUUUCCUUUACAAAACAAGUUCCCACAAACUUUGAAUACUUACUCCCCAAGCACAUUUGCUCCCCGUGCACCUAUGCACCCUUAAGCACAUAUGCUUACUUGAACUUGCUUGUAAAAACCUCUAAUCCAAACCAGAUUAGAAACUCUAGACUAACCCCUUAGUCCAUUAACUGAUUUUGAGAAUUGAUUAUAAGAUGAUAACAAAGUAAACUAUGAUCAAAACAUUAAUAAUAUAUAUCAAAAUUAGGCUCAAUUAAUAUGCAAUGAUCAAAGAGUUAGAUAAAGAUAUCACUAGUUUAAGAGCGGUGAAUACAAGCUGAAAAUUAAUAUAGACUUGAUGAAGCACAACAACCUUUAAGUAUUUCUUCACAAUAGAAAAAUGGACAACCUUCUUGUAAGUGUUUAUGAAGAGAUUAGAAAUCAAAAUAUGUUCGUAUUGUUAUUCUUCUAC